This is a long non-coding RNA of Callithrix jacchus (white-tufted-ear marmoset), 1153 nucleotides long. Lineage: Eukaryota; Metazoa; Chordata; Mammalia; Primates; Cebidae. The record is from Ensembl.
GGAUCCCAACACUUUGGGAGAUAGAGAUGGAGGACCCAUUGCUUGAGGCCAGGAGUUCAAGACCAGCCUGAGCAACACAGCGAGACACCACCUCUGCAAAAAAUAAAAGAAAUUAGCCAGGCAUGGUGGUGGAUGCUGCGGACUCAGCUACUUGGAAAGCUGAGGGAUCCUCCAGUGGGCCAUGCUCUGGGCCACCCCAGGGCUUUGCAUGGCUUUUUCUGGCCCCACGACACUCAUCUGCCUCCUGCUUUUGCCUCCCAUUCUUCCAUUCGUGCUAUUCCCCGCCUCGGAUCAGACCACAGGCUGCCUGCCAGCCCACCCCUCUUCAGAGCAGGUUGUAACGUUACCUCCCGCCAUCAUGAAGUCACCUCACAUCCUCCCAGUGGCAGGCUCCCGAAGGAGUGUUUUCAGGACGUGUCAGUGUCGCAUCAGUGGUUUGUCCUUUUUCCCUGCUGAGCAACGUUCUAUGGGGUGGAUCUACCGCCAUUGCCUGCUGAUGGGCAUGGGGCGAGUCCGGUUUGAGUGACAGCGAUGCCGUGAAGCCCCGUGUGUGAGGAGCCUCCGUGCGUACGUCUGCACUCGUUUCUCCUGGGCAGAUACCUUGGAGCUGGCCUGCUGGGCCAUAAGGUAGACAAAGGGCUCAGCUUUAUAAGAAACUAUGAUUCAAAUGCCCUUAAACAAUGACUGUGUCAGUUUGCUGAGGAUGAUGUUCUCCAGAUUCAUCCAUGUCCCUACAAACGACACGAACUCAUCAUUUCUGAUUGCUGCAUAAUAUUCCAUGGUGUAUAUGUGCCACAUUUUCCCAGUCCAGUCUAUCAUCGAUGGGCAUUUGGGUUGAUUCCAGGUCUUUGCUAUUGUAAACAGUGCUGCAAUGAACAUUCGUGUGCAUGUGUCCUUAUAGUAGAAAGAUUUAUAGUCCUUUGGAUAUAUACCCAGUAGUGGGAUUGCUGGGUCAAAUGGAAUUUCUAUUUCUAAGGCCUUGAGGAAUCGCCACACUGUCUUCCACAAUGGUUGUACCUAUGCAACUGUCUUGCAUGUUCUGCACAUGUACCCCAAAACCUAAAAUGCAAUAAAAAAUUUAAAAAAAAAACAAUGACUGUGGGAAACUGCAAACAUUUACGAAAGGAGGACAGUGGAGUGAACUGUGGAAAGC